CGGAGGAUCCAAGCGUUGUCCGGAUUUAUUGGGUUUAAAGGGUGCGUAGGCGGAUCUUUAAGUCAGUGGUGAAAGCCUGCAGCUUAACUGUAGAACAGCCAUUGAAACUGAAGAUCUUGAAUUAGGUUAAAGUAGGCGGAAUGUAUCAUGUAGCGGUGAAAUGCUUAGAUAUGAUACAGAACACCGAUAGCGAAGGCAGCUUGCUGAACCUAUAUUGACGCUGAGGCACGAAAGCGUGGGGAGCAAACAGGAUUAGAUACCCUGGUAGUCCACGCCCUAAACGUUGAUUACUCGUUGUUGGCGAUAUACUGUCAGCGACCAAGCUAAAGCGUUAAGUAAUCCACCUGGGAAGUACGACCGCAAGGUUG
Molecule: ribosomal RNA, 368 nt
Filed under: uncultured organism
Description: bacterial SSU rRNA
Rfam family: Bacterial small subunit ribosomal RNA
Source: RNAcentral